RNAcentral lists this ribosomal RNA (195 nucleotides) under uncultured bacterium. RNAcentral describes it as "partial 16S ribosomal RNA". It matches the Rfam family "Bacterial small subunit ribosomal RNA", at positions 338 to 524 of the family's 1533-position model. The record is from RNAcentral.
CCUACGGGAGGCAGCAGUCGAGAGGCAUCGGCAAUGGGGGAAACCCUGACCGUGCGACGCCGCGUGGGGGAUGAAGGCCUUCGGGUUGUAAACUCCUGUCAGUUGGGAAGAACGGCUAUUCGGUUAAUAUCCGAGUAGUUUGACGGUACCAGCAGAGGAAGCUCCGGCUAACUCCGUGCCAGCAGCCGCGGUAAU